RNAcentral lists this ribosomal RNA (468 nucleotides) under uncultured bacterium. Its description in RNAcentral is "partial 16S ribosomal RNA". It matches the Rfam family "Bacterial small subunit ribosomal RNA", at positions 28 to 507 of the family's 1533-position model. The record is from RNAcentral.
GACGAACGCUGGCGGCGUGCUUAACACAUGCAAGUCGAACGGAAAGGCCCUGCUUUUGUGGGGUGCUCGAGUGGCGAACGGGUGAGUAACACGUGAGUAACCUGCCCUUGACUUUGGGAUAACUUCAGGAGACUGGGGCUAAUACCGGAUAGGAGCUCCUGCUGCAUGGUGGGGGUUGGAAAGUUUCGGCGGUUGGGGAUGGACUCGCGGCUUAUCAGCUUGUUGGUGGGGUAGUGGCUUACCAAGGCUUUGACGGGUAGCCGGCCUGAGAGGGUGACCGGCCACAUUGGGACUGGGAUACGGCCCAGACUCCUACGGGAGGCAGCAGUGGGGAAUAUUGCACAAUGGGCGGAAGCCUGAUGCAGCAACGCCGCGUGCGGGAUGACGGCCUUCGGGUUGUAAACCGCUUUCGCCUGUGACGAAGCGUGAGUGACGGUAAUGGGUAAAGAAGCACCGGCUAACUACGUG